GACGAACGCUGGCGGCGUGCUUAACACAUGCAAGUAGAACGGAAAGGCCCUGCUUUGGUGGGGUGCUCGAGUGGCGAACGGGUGAGUAACACGUGAGUAACCUGCCCUUGACUUUGGGAUAACUACAGGAAACGGGAGCUAAUACCGGAUAGGAGCUCCUGCUGCAUGGUGGGGGUUGGAAAGUUUCGGCGGUUGGGGAUGGACUUGCGGCUUAUCAGCUUGUUGGUGGGGUAGUGGCUUACCAAGGCUUUGACGGGUAGCCGGCCUGAGAGGGUGACCGGCCACAUUGGGACUGAGAUACGGCCCAGACUCCUACGGGAGGCAGCAGUGGGGAAUAUUGCACAAUGGGCGGAAGCCUGAUGCAGCAACGCCGCGUGCGGGAUGACGGCCUUCGGGUUGUAAACCGCUUUCGCCUGUGACGAAGCGUGAGUGACGGUAAUGGGUAAAGAAGCACCGGCUAACUACGUG
This 468-nucleotide ribosomal RNA is filed under the name uncultured bacterium. RNAcentral describes it as "partial 16S ribosomal RNA". It matches the Rfam family "Bacterial small subunit ribosomal RNA", at positions 28 to 507 of the family's 1533-position model. The record is from RNAcentral.